This 268-nucleotide small nuclear RNA is filed under the name Nannospalax galili (Upper Galilee mountains blind mole rat). RNAcentral describes it as "7SK RNA (ENSNGAG00000004361.1)". It matches the Rfam family "7SK RNA", at positions 1 to 289 of the family's 331-position model. Rfam says of the family: 7SK was discovered as an abundant small nuclear RNA in the mid-70s but a possible function has only recently been suggested. Two independent studies have found that 7SK RNA binds the CDK9/cyclin T complex (known as elongation factor P-TEFb). The record is from RNAcentral. Lineage: Eukaryota; Metazoa; Chordata; Mammalia; Rodentia; Spalacidae.
GAAUGUGAAAGUGAUCUGGCUGUGUGUGACAUGUCACCCCAUUGGUCAGGGUUGGUACAGCUGUUCUGACUGACCAGAAGGGUGUCCACUUCCUCCAUCAUUCUGUGUGUCUCUCCUGAAGCUAUGUUCUUGAUCAAAAAGGACAGCCCUCCUUGAUAGCAUCGGACUGCUCUUAGGUCAAGGCUAUCCCAGUGGCUGACCGUGGCUGCUAGAACCGCCAAACACGGUCUCAGGAAACCCAGCCUUGACGUCAUUCAUUCCUCCCACU